Molecule: long non-coding RNA, 999 nt
Filed under: Salmo salar (Atlantic salmon)
Lineage: Eukaryota; Metazoa; Chordata; Actinopteri; Salmoniformes; Salmonidae
Description: lncRNA (ENSSSAG00000093467.1, ENSSSAG00000098141.1)
Source: RNAcentral
GAAGUAGCCCUGUUCAGAAUGGGGCUCAAGGGAAGUGUACUGUUUGAUAGAGGCGCAUGACCUGAAAAGCACUCUCCACUUUGUUUUCCUCUGGUUUUGAAUGCAGUUUAUCCCGUCUUAAAUUUUAUCGAUUAUUUACGUAAAAAAAUACCUAAAGUUGUAUAUGAGGAAAGUUGUUUGAAAUGUUUGGACAAAGAUUACAGGUAACUUGAGAUAUUUUGUAGUCAUGUUGCGCGAGUUGGAACCGGUGUUUUUCUGGAUCAAACGCGCCAAAUAAAUGGACAUUUUGGAUAUAUAACGACGGAAUUAAUCGAACAAAGGACCAUUUGUGAUGUUUAUGGGACAUAUUGGAGUGCCAACAGAAGAAGCUCGUCAAAGGUAACAACCAUCGGCUGGUUGGGAUGUCAGGAAUGGAUUGAGGCGAAACAACAUUGUAACUGCUAAUGUGCAGGUGAGCAGUCUGUCUGGAAUUGAAGAGCGCCUGAUCUAAAGACUGGAUCCCUCUCACUGAGCGCCGUCUCUGACAUAGCAAGGAGAUUUGGAAACUACGGAAGGCUAUAUUCAACCAUUGUGUGAGCAACCAUGCUGCAGCACCAGAGGCUAGAGGGGUUGUGUACAGUACAUCAGAGGUUGGCAACCCUGGUCCUGGAGUGCUGCAGGCUCUUCAUGUUUUUGAUUAACCGACCUGGAAGAACAGGAAUCUCCAAAUGUUGAACGAGCACCUCGGAUGAAGGAUGGGGAGGAAAACAGACAGCUUCUUUCGACCACACCUUCGCAAAGCUUCUGCAGUGGUGGAUGGACUCAUGCAUGCCAACCGAAUUAAAAUCUCCUCCAAUAUCUGACAUUGCACCUGGAGACACUGAACAUCAGAGACCAAUGCAUUACCUUGCCUGGACCAUGGAGAUCAGUCCCAUUCACUCAUACAUCAUGGUGACAGCUCAAAGCAAUCUCUCAGCCACGUCUGGGAAAAUAGGUGAAGAGAGAACCUGGAAAGAACUG